AGAAGAGUGGUCAACUUGCUUAGGAGAGGGAGUUUCCUUACCAAGAGUUCCCCCCACUGAUAUCUCUAGACCAAAAGCGGCAAUAAGGACCACUCUGCUAGACCUUUCAGUACCAUCGUUCAGUCAUCAGUAUGUUUGUGUACAAUAACUCCUAUAGAAGUGCUUGCCAGUGUAACAUUAUUUCUAAAGAUCAAGGAAACUGAGGGUCAGAGAGAUGAAGAGGAUGGGCCAUGUUCACACAGCUUGUAAGUGGCAAAACCAAGAUUCCAACCCUUCUGAGUCCAGGU
This 287-nucleotide long non-coding RNA is filed under the name Monodelphis domestica (gray short-tailed opossum). Its description in RNAcentral is "lncRNA (ENSMODG00000032468.2)". Lineage: Eukaryota; Metazoa; Chordata; Mammalia; Didelphimorphia; Didelphidae. The record is from RNAcentral.